GUUUUGACAGCAGCUUUAAUUUCUGAUGGUAUAUUAUUGGAGCUUUUAUGAAUGCAGUUUUGAACUACAUGGGCAGCAAAAUCAAUUGCUGAAGCACAAAGGCAUGAUCAAAGCUCAUGGCAGCCUCAAGUUCCUGGGUUCAAAUGAUCCUCUCACCUCAGCCUUGCAAGUAGAGCACUAUCUUCUCAGAGGAUUUGAUGCAUGAACACUGUAGAUGAUUGAAUUGAGCUUCACUGGAUGAUAGCAUGUGUUUGCGUUUCCUCUUAUAACUCAUGAUAUUAC
RNAcentral lists this long non-coding RNA (282 nucleotides) under Homo sapiens (human). RNAcentral's name for it is "HSALNT0335654". The record is from RNAcentral. Lineage: Eukaryota; Metazoa; Chordata; Mammalia; Primates; Hominidae.